AGCAGUAGCCGCGGGAAUACGGAGGGUGCAAGCGUUAAUCGGAAUUACUGGGCGUAAAGCGUGCGUAGGUGGUGGUUUAAGUCCGUUGUGAAAGCCCUGGGCUCAACCUGGGAAUUGCAGUGGAUACUGGGUCACUAGAGUGUGGUAGAGGAUAGUGGAAUUUCCGGUGUAGCAGUGAAAUGCGUAGAGAUCGGAAGGAACAUCUGUGGCGAAGGCGACUAUCUGGGCCAACACUGACACUGAGGCACGAAAGCGUGGGGAGCAAACAGGAUUAGAUACCCCCGUAGUCCCUGUCUCUUAUAC
Molecule: ribosomal RNA, 303 nt
Filed under: uncultured bacterium
Lineage: Bacteria
Description: partial 16S ribosomal RNA
Rfam family: Bacterial small subunit ribosomal RNA
Source: RNAcentral